GCAGGAGGCCAGGAGGGCGCACAGUGAAGCGGAAGCAGAGGUGCAGAGAGUCAGGGCCGAAAUUCAGCAGGU
Molecule: non-coding RNA, 72 nt
Filed under: Gambierdiscus australes
Lineage: Eukaryota; Dinophyceae; Gonyaulacales; Pyrocystaceae
Source: RNAcentral